This 449-nucleotide ribosomal RNA is filed under the name uncultured bacterium. RNAcentral's name for it is "bacterial SSU rRNA". It matches the Rfam family "Bacterial small subunit ribosomal RNA", at positions 28 to 478 of the family's 1533-position model. The record is from RNAcentral.
GAUGAACGCUGGCGGCGUGCUUAACACAUGCAAGUCGAACGGGAAUUACUUUAUUGAAACUUCGGUCGAUUUAAUUUAAUUCUAGUGGCGGACGGGUGAGUAACGCGUGGGUAACCUGCCUUAUACAGGGGGAUAACAGUCAGAAAUGGCUGCUAAUACCGCAUAAGCGCACAGAGCUGCAUGGCUCGGUGUGAAAAACUCCGGUGGUAUAAGAUGGACCCGCGUUGGAUUAGCUUGUUGGUGGGGUAACGGCCCACCAAGGCGACGAUCCAUAGCCGGCCUGAGAGGGUGAACGGCCACAUUGGGACUGAGACACGGCCCAGACUCCUACGGGAGGCAGCAGUGGGGAAUAUUGCACAAUGGGGGAAACCCUGAUGCAGCGACGCCGCGUGAAGGAAGAAGUAUCUCGGUAUGUAAACUUCUAUCAGCAGGGAAGAUAGUGACGGUAC